Long non-coding RNA from Saccostrea cuccullata (small rock oyster), 541 nucleotides. RefSeq lists it as uncharacterized. Lineage: Eukaryota; Metazoa; Mollusca; Bivalvia; Ostreida; Ostreidae. The transcript is spliced from 4 exons. The record is from RefSeq and is a predicted model, not a curated record.
GUGUAAAGAGAUUGAAGACUGGUCCUCAAGUCCAGCGGGCCAAGAAGCAUCCAUUUCUUGUCCUAUAGGAUAUAAUGGUAUACAGGAGAGAAAAUGCAAAGAAAAUGGAGUAUGGGGCGCCAUCAAUACAAACAACUGCACAUCAGAGAAGCUAGACAAAUUUGAAAAAGCAAUAGGAGGGAAUAAAAAUAUUUCUGAAUCCACUGUAAAACAAUCACUUACUGCGAUCUUUGAUGUCGUCAACUCGACAGAUGAUAACAAUAACGUGGCACAUGUUAACAUAAAACAGAGCGUCAGCAUUAUAUCUGCAAUAUCCAAUAAAAGUAUAACAUUUGAGAAUAAGAAAGCUGCAGAGGAAGUGACAGAUAAAUUUGCUGGUGUUGUCAGUCAACUUUUAAAUGCGAAUAAAACCAAAGUAAAUCAAGCAAGUGAAGAAAAGAAAUUGAAAAGUAAGAUCAUCUCAUCUGUGGACGGAUUUGCCAAAUCUGUAACCAAGUCACUAAAAGAGAAUGAGACGGUGACUGUUGACAAGAAAAAUUUG